RNAcentral lists this unclassified non-coding RNA (297 nucleotides) under uncultured fungus. Its description in RNAcentral is "sequence contains ITS2". The stretch from base 1 to 52 matches the Rfam family "5.8S ribosomal RNA", at positions 103 to 154 of the family's 154-position model. The record is from RNAcentral. Lineage: Eukaryota; Fungi.
AACGCACCUUGCGCCCUUUGGUAUUCCGAAGGGCACACCUGUUUGAGUGUCAUUAAUCUCUCAACCUUGCCAUUUUUUUAUUAAAGUGUCAGUGGUUGGAUGUUGAGUGUUGCUGGACAUUUUUGCUUCAGCUCACUUUAAAUUUAUGAGCAGGCUCCUACCAUUUUGGACUGACUCAACGUGAUAAGAAAUUUCGUUGAGGACACUUUACAGUGGCCAAGUUGUAGGGAAUUGCCGCUACUAGUUGACUUUUAUAUUUUAGACCUCAAAUCAGGUGGGACUACCCGCUGAACUUAA